CUUAACUUUCGGAUGGCUGCCUUUUUUGCUGUGUCCUCACAUGGUUUUUGUUUCGUAGCCACACAGGGAGAGAGAUCUGUGUCUCUGAGGUCUCUUCCUUUUCAUAAAAGGACACAGUCCAAUUGUAUUAAGACCCUACUCUUACAACCCCACAAUUUUAAUAACUUCCUUUUAGGAGUCUUAUUUCCAAAUGUAGUCAUAUUGGGGAUUAGGGUUUCAGUACAUGAGUUUGAAGGGAACACUGUUCAGUCUAUGACAGUGAUCAAUAAAUAUUUGCUUAAAAUAUCAGCUGGUGAAUGGCAAAAUCUUUAUUCAUUGAUGGAAUGAAUGAGUAGUGAUUUCCAGUGUUCUGUUGGAAGGAGAAGAGAAGGAAUUUGAACAGAGCAGGAAGCUCCUCUAUGGCCCCUCAGGACACCCUGAAUCCAAAAGAAUCACUACAGCUUGCAGGUGUCAGCAUCUGUCCUAUCUGUCUUUUACUGGAGGCCAGUUGUUUAGUGUAAGGGAUUAUUAGGCCACAGUGGAGGAUCAGUUAAUUUCAUCCUGAGGAGGGCUGUUCCACAGCCAGGGCUCAGGGGCUGGGUGUUAAGAGCUGGAUGUAUUCCUUUUAGGAGAACCCAGACAUAAACAAAUGCAGAACAGCAUAGCUGAGCCACUUAGUAUUCCAGCACUGAAGUGCCACCAACACUAAACAAGCAACAAACAAAACACUCAGGACAUACUGAGUCAGAAUUUAUAUGCUUUUCAGUGUAAUAGAAGCCCUGAUUCUAAAAACUGGAAGUUUGGGGUUCAUUUCAGUUUCAUAGCUUUUUACAAUCCACCUUUAAAUUGUGUAGUAUAUUUUUUAAGAGGAAAUUUUAACUAAAAAAAAAAAAAGAAGAAAUGAAAACACCUCUAAAAUUGUUUUCUUAUAUAUUUGUUUCUAAGCUUUCAUUUUACAUAGUUGAAUUACAUAUUCAAGACUCUACAAUAAAUAUAUUGACAGCUAUUCCCCACACUUACAUAUAGUAUUUAUAAAUAAUUUGAAGGUCUGUGUAAUACUCCAUCCAGAGGGUGUGCAUCCAUGCGUAUAGCAGAU
Molecule: long non-coding RNA, 1075 nt
Filed under: Marmota monax (woodchuck)
Lineage: Eukaryota; Metazoa; Chordata; Mammalia; Rodentia; Sciuridae
Source: RNAcentral